UACGUAGGUGGCAAGCGUUGUCCGGAUUUACUGGGCGUAAAGAGCGCGCAGGCGGUCGUUCAAGUCGCGUGUGAAAGCCCCCGGCUCAACUGGGGAGGGUCACGCGAUACUGAUCGACUCGAAGGCAGGAGAGGGUAGUGGAAUUCCGGGUGUAGUGGUGAAAUGCGUAGAUAUCGGAAGGAACAUCAGUGGCGAAAGCGGCUUCCUGGACCAGCACCGACGUUCAGGCACGAAAGCGUGGGGAGCAAACAGG
This 253-nucleotide ribosomal RNA is filed under the name uncultured bacterium. RNAcentral's name for it is "partial 16S ribosomal RNA". It matches the Rfam family "Bacterial small subunit ribosomal RNA", at positions 524 to 776 of the family's 1533-position model. The record is from RNAcentral.